UGACCUAUGGUGUAAUCGGCAACACACCAGAUUUUGGUUCUGGAGUUCAAGGUUCGAGUCCUUGUAGGUCAA
RNAcentral lists this transfer RNA (72 nucleotides) under Bacteroidota bacterium. RNAcentral describes it as "Bacteroidetes bacterium tRNA-Gln". It matches the Rfam family "tRNA". Rfam says of the family: Transfer RNA (tRNA) molecules are approximately 80 nucleotides in length. Their secondary structure includes four short double-helical elements and three loops (D, anti-codon, and T loops). Further hydrogen bonds mediate the characteristic L-shaped molecular structure. tRNAs have two regions of fundamental functional importance: the anti-codon, which is responsible for specific mRNA codon recognition, and the 3' end, to which the tRNAs corresponding amino acid is attached (by aminoacyl-tRNA synthetases). tRNAs cope with the degeneracy of the genetic code in two manners: having more than one tRNA (with a specific anti-codon) for a particular amino acid; and 'wobble' base-pairing, i.e. permitting non-standard base-pairing at the 3rd anti-codon position. The record is from RNAcentral. Lineage: Bacteria; Pseudomonadati; Bacteroidota. RNAcentral also lists the same sequence under 1 other name.